UUUCAAUGAGGAAGAAUGCCCGAAGUGAUAGGAAGUGCCGUAUGACACGUUAUACAGCGCCGCCCAGACACUAACGGAGGCCGCCUCGUUCCCAUCCCCCAAUGAUUAGUUUAUUGGCCGGGAAACUGGCGUGCGGGUCCGGUUUGCCGCCGCCGUGCUUGAUUUGGAACGGUAUUUAUCAGAUUUUUGUAAAGGUUCGAUGCCGUGACGACGGUAGCUAAAUAGCCGUGACCCGUAUUGUGCUAUGAUUGAACCGAGAGCGAGGAUCUUCUGUUUCGCAUUCUGAUAGGAACCUGUGGAUCCUAAUUUUUUACUGGUCCACGGAGCCGUUUUACUGCGAUUACAUUUUUAAGUUUCUUGAAGUUUUAUUUAAUUUUGAUAAAACAAAUUCUUUUGUUAAAGGAUGAGCCUAUGAGGAUUUUGUUUUAGUUGGAAUUACCGACUGAUUUUUAUUGAUGUCAAAUAACUGGCUUUCUGAGGCUUCAA
RNAcentral lists this small RNA (486 nucleotides) under Malus domestica (apple). The record is from RNAcentral. Lineage: Eukaryota; Viridiplantae; Streptophyta; Magnoliopsida; Rosales; Rosaceae.